AUGGCGAAGGCGAGGAGGCGUCGCGUGCCGGCGUUCGGGGAGUGGAACUACAACUACCACCACCACGAGCAGCAGGCACUUCCGCCGGCCGUUGUUGCACCGGCCGCGUGCUAUGCCACGCAGGAGCCGGAGCCGGAGGCCUGCAGCGACGUGUGGUUCAGGUACUCGCCGGCCCCGCGCAAACCCACGCCCAAGAAGCAGGCGAGGAGGCGGCACGAGGGCGACGUGUCCCGGGAGCAUUCGAAGGCGUCCUGGGACGCUUCCAGGCGGGUGGUGCGCCCGGUCGACGGGGACCUGUACCAGGUGCCACCGCCGGAGCUCGCCUCCCACCGGCGGCCAACGAAGAAGUGGAGCCUGUGGAUGGGAUGCCUGGGCCUCAGCUCAUGCGUCGCCUCCUGA
Molecule: ribosomal RNA, 399 nt
Filed under: Triticum aestivum (bread wheat)
Lineage: Eukaryota; Viridiplantae; Streptophyta; Magnoliopsida; Poales; Poaceae
Description: partial small subunit ribosomal RNA
Source: RNAcentral